Molecule: ribosomal RNA, 562 nt
Filed under: uncultured bacterium
Lineage: Bacteria
Description: bacterial SSU rRNA
Rfam family: Bacterial small subunit ribosomal RNA
Source: RNAcentral
ACUCUGAUGCAGCGAUGCCGCNUGAGUGAAGAAGGCCUUUGGGUUGUAAAGCUCUUUUGUAGGGGAAGAUAAUGACUGUACCCUAAGAAUAAGGUCCGGCUAACUUCGUGCCAGCAGCCGCGGUAAUACGAAGGGACCUAGCGUAGUUCGGAAUUACUGGGCGUAAAGCGCGCGUAGGCCGUUGAGUUAGUUAAUUGUGAAAUCCCAAAGCUUAACUUUGGAACUGCAAUUAAAACUGCUCGACUAGAGUUUGAUAGAGGAAAGCGGAAUACAUAGUGUAGAGGUGAAAUUCGUAGAUAUUAUGUAGAACACCAGUUGCGAAGGCGGCUUUCUGGGUCAACACUGACGCUGAGGCGCGAAAGUAUGGGUAGCAAAGAGGAUUAGAUACCCUCGUAGUCCAUACCAUAAACGAUGAUUGCUAGAUGUUGGAAAUUUAUUUUCAGUAUCGCAGCUAACGCAUUAAGCAAUCCGCCUGGGGAGUACGACCGCAAGGUUAAAAAUCAAAUGAAUUGACGGGGACCCGCACAAGCGGUGGAGCAUUGUGGUUUAUUCGAAGAUACGC